GAUGAACGCUAGCGGCAGGCUUAAUACAUGCAAGUCGAGGGGCAGCGGGAGUAGCAAUACUUGCCGGCGACCGGCGCACGGGUGCGUAACACGUAUGUAAUCUGCCCAUCACAGGAGGAUAGCCCGGAGAAAUUCGGAUUAAUACUCCAUAAUAGAAGAUAAAGCAUUUUAUUUUCUUGAAAGUUCCGACGGUGAUGGAUGAACAUGCGACUGAUUAGUUUGUUGGUGAGGUAACGGCUCACCAAGACUACGAUCAGUAGGGGUACUGAGAGGUUAAACCCCCACACUGGUACUGAGACACGGACCAGACUCCUACGGGAGGCAGCAGUAAGGAAUAUUGGACAAUGGCCGCAAGGCUGAUCCAGCCAUGCCGCGUGCAGGAAGACGGACCUAUGGUUUGUAAACU
This 406-nucleotide ribosomal RNA is filed under the name uncultured bacterium. RNAcentral describes it as "bacterial SSU rRNA". It matches the Rfam family "Bacterial small subunit ribosomal RNA", at positions 28 to 431 of the family's 1533-position model. The record is from RNAcentral.